UGCAGUCGAACGAGCGAGAGAGAGCUUGCUUUCUCGAGCGAGUGGCGAACGGGUGAGUAACGCGUGAGGAACCUGCCUCAAAGAGGGGGACAACAGUUGGAAACGACUGCUAAUACCGCAUAAGCCCACGGGUCGGCAUCGACCAGAGGGAAAAGGAGCAAUCCGCUUUGAGAUGGCCUCGCGUCCGAUUAGCUAGUUGGUGAGGUAACGGCCCACCAAGGCAACGAUCGGUAGCCGGACUGAGAGGUUGAACGGCCACAUUGGGACUGAGACACGGCCCAGACUCCUACGGGAGGCAGCAGUGGGGAAUAUUGCACAAUGGGGGAAACCCUGAUGCAGCGACGCCGCGUGGAGGAAGAAGGUCUUCGGAUUGUAAACUCCUGUUGUUGAGGAAGAUAAUGACGGUACUCAACAAGGAAGUGACGGCUAACUACGUGCCAGCAGCCGCGGUAAAACGUAGGUCACAAGCGUUGUCCGGAAUUACUGGGUGUAAAGGGAGCGCAGGCGGGAAGACAAGUUGGAAGUGAAAUCCAUGGGCUCAACCCAUGAACUGCUUUCAAAACUGUUUUUCUUGAGUAGUGCAGAGGUAGGCGGAAUUCCCGGUGUAGCGGUGGAAUGCGUAGAUAUCGGGAGGAACACCAGUGGCGAAGGCGGCCUACUGGGCACCAACUGACGCUGAGGCUCGAAAGUGUGGGUAGCAAACAGGAUUAGAUACCCUGGUAGUCCACACCGUAAACGAUGAUUACUAGGUGUUGGAGGAUUGACCCUUUCAGUGCCGCAGUUAACACAAUAAGUAAUCCACCUGGGGAGUACGACCGCAAGGUUGAAACUCAAAGGAAUUGACGGGGGCCCGCACAAGCAGUGGAGUAUGUGGUUUAAUUC
Molecule: ribosomal RNA, 882 nt
Filed under: uncultured bacterium
Lineage: Bacteria
Description: bacterial SSU rRNA
Rfam family: Bacterial small subunit ribosomal RNA
Source: RNAcentral